RNAcentral lists this ribosomal RNA (452 nucleotides) under uncultured bacterium. RNAcentral describes it as "bacterial SSU rRNA". It matches the Rfam family "Bacterial small subunit ribosomal RNA", at positions 30 to 483 of the family's 1533-position model. The record is from RNAcentral.
AUUGCACGCUGGCGGCAUGCUUUACACAUGCAAGUCGAACGGCAGCGCGGGGGCAACCCUGGCGGCGAGUGGCGAACGGGUGAGUAAUGCAUCGGAACGUAUCCUGUAAUGGGGGAUAACGUAGCGAAAGUUACGCUAAUACCGCAUACGCUCGAGAGAGGAAAGUGGGGGAUCGCAAGACCUCACGUUAUAGGAGCGGCCGAUGUCCGAUUAGCUAGUUGGUGGGGUAAAGGCCUACCAAGGCGACGAUCGGUAGCUGGUCUGAGAGGAUGAUCAGCCACACUGGGACUGAGACACGGCCCAGACUCCUACGGAGGCAGCAGUGGGGAAUUUUGGACAAUGGGCGAAAGCCUGAUCCAGCCAUGCCGCGUGCGGGAAGAAGGCCUCGGUUGUAACGACUUAGUCGGAAACGGGUAGCGAGGAGUAAUACCCUACCGUGCUUGUAUGGUACU